RNAcentral lists this ribosomal RNA (376 nucleotides) under uncultured bacterium. Its description in RNAcentral is "bacterial SSU rRNA". It matches the Rfam family "Bacterial small subunit ribosomal RNA", at positions 524 to 898 of the family's 1533-position model. The record is from RNAcentral.
UACGUAGGUGGCAAGCGUUGUCCGGAAUUAUUGGGCGUAAAGCGCGCGCAGGCGGCCUUUUAAGUCUGAUGUGAAAUCUUGCGGCUCAACCGCAAGCGGCCAUUGGAAACUGGGAGGCUUGAGUACAGAAGAGGAGAGUGGAAUUCCACGUGUAGCGGUGAAAUGCGUAGAUAUGUGGAGGAACACCAGUGGCGAAGGCGACUCUCUGGUCUGUAACUGACGCUGAGGCGCGAAAGCGUGGGGAGCAAACAGGAUUAGAUACCCUGGUAGUCCACGCCGUAAACGAUGAGUGCUAGGUGUUAGGGGUUUCGAUGCCCGUAGUGCCGAAGUUAACACAUUAAGCACUCCGCCUGGGGAGUACGGCCGCAAGGCUGAA